This 497-nucleotide ribosomal RNA is filed under the name uncultured bacterium. Its description in RNAcentral is "partial 16S ribosomal RNA". It matches the Rfam family "Bacterial small subunit ribosomal RNA", at positions 28 to 507 of the family's 1533-position model. The record is from RNAcentral.
GAUGAACGCUGGCGGCGUGCCUAAUACAUGCAAGUCGAGCGGACGGACGAUAAUCUUGCUUCUCUGAUGUUAGCGGCGGACGGGUGAGUAACACGUGGAUUACCUACCUAUAAGACUUGGAUAACUUCGAGAAACCGUAGUUAAUACCGGAUAAUAUUUUGAACCGCAUGGUUCAAAAGUUAAAUACGGUCUUGCUGUCACUUAUAGAUGUAUCCGCGCUGCAUUAGCUAGUUGGUAAGGUAACGGCUUACCAAGGCAACGAUGCAUAGCCGACCUGAGAGGGUGAUCGGCCACACUGGAACUGAGACACGGUCCAGACUCCUACGCGAGGCAGAAGUAGGGAAUCUUCAGCAAUGGGCGAAAGCCUGAAGGAGCAACGCCGCGUGAGUGAUGAAGGUCCUCGGAUCGUAAAACUCUGCUAUUAGGGAAGAACAUAUGUGUAAGUAAAUGUGCACAUCUUGACGGUAGCUAAUCAGAAAGCAACGGCUAACUACGUG